RNAcentral lists this ribosomal RNA (253 nucleotides) under uncultured bacterium. RNAcentral describes it as "partial 16S ribosomal RNA". It matches the Rfam family "Bacterial small subunit ribosomal RNA", at positions 524 to 776 of the family's 1533-position model. The record is from RNAcentral.
UACAGAGGGUGCAAGCGUUGUUCGGAAUCAUUGGGCGUAAAGCGCGUGUAGGCGGCCAACUAAGUUUGGUGUGAAAGCCCAGGGCUUAACCCUGGAAGUGCACUGAAUACUGGUUGGCUAGAGGACGAGAGAGGACAAUGGAAUUCAUGGUGUAGGGGUGAAAUCCGUAGAUAUCAUGAGGAACAUCUGUGGCGAAGGCGAUUGUCUGGCUCGUUUCUGACGCUGAGACGCGAAAGCGUGGGGAGCAAACAGG